RNAcentral lists this ribosomal RNA (503 nucleotides) under uncultured bacterium. Its description in RNAcentral is "partial 16S ribosomal RNA". It matches the Rfam family "Bacterial small subunit ribosomal RNA", at positions 30 to 523 of the family's 1533-position model. The record is from RNAcentral.
AUUGAACGCUGGCGGCAGGCUUAACACAUGCAAGUCGAGCGGAGUGAUGGUGCUUGCACUAUCACUUAGCGGCGGACGGGUGAGUAAUGCUUAGGAAUCUGCCUAUUGGUGGGGGACAACAUCUCGAAAGGGAUGCUAAUACCGCAUACGUCCUACGGGAGAAAGCAGGGGAUCACUUGUGACCUUGCGCUAAUAGAUGAGCCUAAGUCGGAUUAGCUAGUUGGUGGGGUAAAGGCCUACCAAGGCGAUGAUCUGUAGCGGGUCUGAGAGGAUGAGCCGCCACACUGGGACUGAGACACGGCCCAGACUCCUACGGGAGGCAGCAGUGGGGAAUAUUGGACAAUGGGGGGAACCCUGAUCCAGCCAUGCCGCGUGUGUGAAGAAGGCCUUAUGGUUGUAAAGCACUUUAAGCGAGGAGGAGGCUCUUUUGGUUAAUACCCAAGAUGAGUGGACGUUACUCGCAGAAUAAGCACCGGCUAACUCUGUGCCAGCCGCCGCAGUAA